Molecule: ribosomal RNA, 497 nt
Filed under: uncultured bacterium
Lineage: Bacteria
Description: partial 16S ribosomal RNA
Rfam family: Bacterial small subunit ribosomal RNA
Source: RNAcentral
GAUGAACGCUGGCGGCGUGCCUAAUACAUGCAAGUCGAGCGAACAGAUGAGGAGCUUGCUCCUCUGACGUUAGCGGCGGACGGGUGAGUAACACGUGUAUAACCUACCUAUAAGACUGGGAUAACUUCGGGAAACCGGAGCUAAUACCGGAUAACAUAUUGAACCGCAUGGUGCAAUAGUGAAAGACGGUUUUGCUGUCACUUAUAGAUGGAUCCGCGCCGCAUUAGCUAGUUGGUAAGGUAACGGCUUACCAAGGCAACGAUGCGUAGCCGACCUGAGAGAGUGAUCGGCCACACUGGAACUGAGACACGGUCCAGACUCCUACGGGAGGCAGCAGUAGGGAAUCUUCCGCAAUGGGCGAAAGCCUGACGGAGCAACGCCGCGUGAGUGAUGAAGGUCUUCGGAUCGUAAAACUCUGUUAUUAGGGAAGAACAAAUGUGUAAGUAACUAUGCACGUCUUGACGGUACCUAAUCAGAAAGCCACGGCUAACUACGUG